Molecule: long non-coding RNA, 378 nt
Filed under: Ananas comosus (pineapple)
Lineage: Eukaryota; Viridiplantae; Streptophyta; Magnoliopsida; Poales; Bromeliaceae
Description: long non-coding RNA (ACOM_LNC013114)
Source: RNAcentral
GCGCAGCCGCUGCUGCCUUGGCAGCCUGCAGCCUUGCUGGCCGAGCUCGGGCCGGGACCGAGCUGCUGCUGGCCUGCGCGCCGCCGCCACCUGGUGACGGCCGUGCCGCCUCCCUCCGGCCUCCCGCCGGCACCUCCGCGACCGGCCAGAGUGGCCGCCGCCGUCGCUCCUGCGGUCUGCGGCCAGCCGAGCGAGAUCUGGCCGUGGGUGGCCAGAUCUCUCUCCCCCGCAUCGCCGCUGUCCAGGCUCGGCCGGGCCGCCUCCCGCCGGCCUCUGACAACCGCUCGCCGUCGCCCGGAGCUCCCCCAGCCGUUCUCGUGGCCGCCGGCCGCCGCUCCCUCUCCCUGCGGCCGCGCAAGGUUUGCGGGCCGAGCCGCA